GAUGAACGCUGGCGGCGUGCCUAAUACAUGCAAGUCGAGCGAACAGACGAGGAGCUUGCUCCUCUGACGUUAGCGGCGGACGGGUGAGUAACACGUGGAUAACCUACCUAUAAGACUGGGAUAACUUCGGGAAACCGGAGCUAAUACCGGAUAAUAUAUUGAACCGCAUGGUUCAAUAGUGAAAGACGGUUUUGCUGUCACUUAUAGAUGGAUCCGCGCCGCAUUAGCUAGUUGGUAAGGUAACGGCUUACCAAGGCAACGAUGCGUAGCCGACCUGAGGGGGUGAUCGGCCACACGGGAACUGGGACACGGUCCAGACUCCUACGGGAGGCAGCAGUAGGGAAUCUUCCGCAAUGGGCGAAAGCUUGACGGAGCAACGCCGCGUGAGUGAUGAAGGUCUUCGGAUCGUAAAACUCUGUUAUUAGGGAAGAACAAAUGUGUAAGUAACUAUGCACGUCUUGACGGUACCUAAUCAGAAAGCCACGGCUAACUACGUG
Molecule: ribosomal RNA, 497 nt
Filed under: uncultured bacterium
Lineage: Bacteria
Description: partial 16S ribosomal RNA
Rfam family: Bacterial small subunit ribosomal RNA
Source: RNAcentral